This is a long non-coding RNA of Tupaia belangeri chinensis (Chinese tree shrew), 464 nucleotides long. RefSeq lists it as uncharacterized. The record is from RefSeq and is a predicted model, not a curated record. The transcript is spliced from 3 exons. Lineage: Eukaryota; Metazoa; Chordata; Mammalia; Scandentia; Tupaiidae.
CAGCCCACAGAUCACAAAGCAGAAAGUUUCUAAGAUCACAGAAGUUCUGGCACCGUCUCCCAGUUACUACAAGAGGCCUGCUAGGCUGUUCCCACUGAGCUAUUCUUGGGACCUGGCAUCAGAGGGGAAGAUGGAGGGUCAGCAGCCGCUACCGUCAGGCAUGGUUGGGAGCCUCUGAGUGGGAUGAAGUAAGAAGUCAUGACAGAGAAGCUUAUAGGACAAGGAACUGUGCUUCUAGGACUCAGGAGUAGCCACCAACCAGCAAAAUGCCAGCGUCCUUAGUCCUCCAGCUGACAGCUGCAAGCAAGUCAAUUUUGACAGCAAUCAGAAUGAGCUUAGAAGUGGCUUCUUCCCCACUGAAGCCUCCACAUUAAGAAUGCAACCUCAUGAACUCCUUGAUGACUGCCUGGUAAGACCCUUGGCAAACUGCUGAACUGUGCCUGGACUCCUGAGCUGCAGAAACU